Centruroides sculpturatus (bark scorpion) is the source of this 1323-nucleotide long non-coding RNA. RefSeq lists it as uncharacterized. Lineage: Eukaryota; Metazoa; Arthropoda; Arachnida; Scorpiones; Buthidae. The transcript is spliced from 3 exons. The record is from RefSeq and is a predicted model, not a curated record.
CUUCCAUCAACAAUGGAAGUGUUAAGUAACAAUGGAAGUAACAAAUUUUCGCCAGUAAAUUACUGGCGAAAAUUUACAUAUUAAUAAGAAAAAAGGACAUUGAGAUCUCGGUGGAUAAAGAGAAUUAAUCUCGAUUUUCGAAUAAACCCGGUUGAAAAGCGUGUAAACAUCUUAAAAUACUGUACAGGAUAAUGUAAUUUAGAAUGAGAGGUUCACAGAAACAUUUAAUGAAAAAAUUGUAAAUAUUGUCGAAUAUCGAGCGUUGGAAAGUACGAUCGAGUUCGUAAGUCGAUAGCUUAUCGGCCGAAGGGUAAUUAGGAAACUCGAAUCGGAAAGAGAUGAUGAGUUUGAACAAGAAACUGAUAGUCGAGAGCUCGAUUCGUACACCAUCGAAGCAGAGUAACAUAAUAACCGAAUUGGAAAACUCUGAACCGGGUUAACUAUGAAAACAGUAAUUAACUGGAAUGUUCUAGCUGUAACCCGUAAAUUCAGUCAAUAAAUGGUUUUGAUAGUUUGGAAAUUAAAAAUUGAAAAUACAAAGUACAAUCUUUUAGAUCCAGAUUGUCCUAUAUUGCACUAGACUAAUUGAAAUUGUACAGUACAUAUAGGCUAUUUAUUUACUGCAUUUUAGACUUUUAUUUUUGAGUUUUAUUGAAAAAUAUUGAGACUAAACUGAGAGAAAAUACUAAUCUAAUCUAAAGAAUCAGGAUUUUCCGAAAGUAAAUAUUCAAUGUUUCUUUACUGGGAUAAGAUUAGUGAAACGAUGUACCGUACGUGGAGUACCAAAUACAUUGCUUUGGCUGUAUGAUCCACGCUUUUAAUUUCUAUUUUUAAUAUCUACAAUAAUUAAUUGUUCGAUUAUAAUGAGUCAUAGUGUACAUAAUAGAGCACUUUUUUUAUUCAAUAUCUUUUCAUCUGUUAGCGAGAGUAAAGAUAUUAUUUUGAUUAAAGACAAUGCUCUGUGUUUCGGAAUCAUUUAAAUAGACUCAUUACUGUAAUGAUUCUUAAUCACCUGGAGAACCAAUUUGUUGCAUAGUUGGAAUUUGUUCGCUAAGUGUGCAAGUUUUGAAUUGAGUUUCAAAUAAAUAGGAAAAAUAGAUAUUUGUUUCUAUUUCUAUACUUUAAUUAUUAUGAAUAUGGGAAUUAAGACAGAAAUAGAUAUCUAUUUCACUUUGUAAAUAAUCAUAUGCAUUUUUAAUCUGAAAUAUAUGUAGGAAGCGAUAUUCUCCCGUAAACAUCACAGAAAAUUUGAGCACAUCCUAUAAAAUUUCCUAUACAAAUUUCAGAUUAAAUUUAACAUAUUGCAAUUAUUGAGUAAUUUGA